AUGAAGAAGUUGAGGACGCUGCACAAGAACUCGUCGCUUCCGUGCUCUGUAACAUGCUGCAGCAGAUUGCAAAAACGACCGAACACAUCCAGCGCCGUCAGAUUCAAUCGUGUGGCCCUUUCCCCUUCGCUCGUCUUCCUCCCUGCACUGUCGCAGGUAUCGUCCUUGGCGUGGAUUUGUCCCGCAAGGCAUGCCGGCCUGAAGAGAUGCGCUCAGACGUGCUGCCACCGUGGUGGACCUUCGCCGGAUCACGGCGGGACGAUGGAGGAGUCAUCCGCCGCGGUCCCGCGCUUCGCCGACAUGCCUGUGCGCCUGCUCGCCAGGCGCCAUGACCUCGACGGGAUGGGGCUCGACGCCGACACGCUCUGCCUCCCGUCGCACCUCUUCGCCCUCUUCGAUGGCCAUGGCGGCGCCGAGGUGUAUGACUACUGCCGAGAGAUGCCACAAGUUCAGCAAGUCCAUCUUGACCCCAUUUCCUGUUGGCUGAGACCCUCACAAUCUCUCUCGCUCUCCAAUUUCAGUGGACACACAUGCAGUGUUUCGAACGGAUGCCAGCUUCAGAGUUUCAGAGAAAGAUCAGAGCAAUUGAAAACAGAGGAGACAGUAGUAUUUUGA
RNAcentral lists this ribosomal RNA (615 nucleotides) under Triticum aestivum (bread wheat). RNAcentral describes it as "partial small subunit ribosomal RNA". Lineage: Eukaryota; Viridiplantae; Streptophyta; Magnoliopsida; Poales; Poaceae. The record is from RNAcentral.